RNAcentral lists this microRNA precursor (118 nucleotides) under Oryza sativa (Asian cultivated rice). Its description in RNAcentral is "miR5494 stem-loop (osa-MIR5494)". The record is from miRBase by way of RNAcentral. Lineage: Eukaryota; Viridiplantae; Streptophyta; Magnoliopsida; Poales; Poaceae.
AUUUGUUUCUUUAUAGGAGGUAUAGACGGUAGCCACGUCACUUUCUUUUUGCCUAAUCCCAUGCACGAGAACUGAAGCCCCUCUCUGUAUCUUGAUAUGACAUCGCAUAGAAACAAGA